RNAcentral lists this ribosomal RNA (467 nucleotides) under uncultured bacterium. RNAcentral describes it as "partial 16S ribosomal RNA". It matches the Rfam family "Bacterial small subunit ribosomal RNA", at positions 28 to 507 of the family's 1533-position model. The record is from RNAcentral.
GACGAACGCUGGCGGCGUGCUUAAACACAUGCAAGUCGAACGGAAAGGCCCUGCUUGCAGGGUACUCGAGUGGCGAACGGGUGAGUAACACGUGGGUGAUCUGCCCUGCACUUCGGGAUAAGCUUGGGAAACUGGGUCUAAUACCGGAUAGGAGCCAUCUUUAGUGUGGUGGUUGGAAAGUUUUUUCGGUGUAGGAUGAGCUCGCGGCCUAUCAGCUUGUUGGUGGGGUAAUGGCCUACCAAGGCGGCGACGGGUAGCCGGCCUGAGAGGGUGUACGGCCACAUUGGGACUGAGAUACGGCCCAGACUCCUACGGGAGGCAGCAGUGGGGAAUAUUGCACAAUGGGCGCAAGCCUGAUGCAGCGACGCCGCGUGGGGGAUGAAGGCCUUCGGGUUGUAAACUCCUUUCGCUAGGGACGAAGCUUUGUUGUGACGGUACCUAGAUAAGAAGCACCGGCUAACUACGUG